AGAGUUUGAUCCUGGCUCAGGACGAACGCUGGCGGCGCGCCUAACACAUGCAAGUCGAACGGAAGUGUUCAAUCGGAAGUUUUCGGACGGAAGAGUGGACAGUUUAGUGGCGAACGGGUGAGUAACGCGUGAGUAACCUGCCCUUCAGAGGGGGACAACAGUUGGAAACGACUGCUAAUACCGCAUAAGCCCACGGUGCCGCAUGGUACAGUGAGAAGAGGAGAAAUCCGCUGAAAGAUGGACUCGCGUCUGAUUAGAUAGUUGGUGGGGUAACGGCCUACCAAGUCGACGAUCAGUAGCCGGACUGAGAGGUUGAACGGCCACAUUGGGACUGAGAGACGGCCCAGACUCCUACGGGAGGCAGCAGUGGGGAAUAUUGCACAAUGGGGGAAACCCUGAUGCAGCGACGCCGCGUGAAGGAAGAAGGUAUUCGUAUUGUAAACUUCUGUCGCAGAUGACGAAUUGAUGACGGUAAUCUGCAAGAAAGCACCGGCUAACUACGUGCCAGCAGCCGCGGUAAAACGUAGGGUGCUAGCGUUGUCCGGAAUUACUGGGUGUAAAGGGAGCGCAGGUGGCAGUGCAAGUUGGAUGUAAAAUCUACGGGCUCAACCCGUAUAAGCAUUCAAAACUGUGCAGCUUGAGUGAAGUAGAGGUAGGUGGAAUUUCCGGUGUAGCGGUGGAAUGCGUAGAUAUCGGAAGGAACAUCAGUGGCGAAGGCGACCUACUGGGCUUUAACUGACGCUGAGGCUCGAAAGCAUGGGUAGCAAACAGGAUUAGAUACCCUGGUAGUCCAUGCUGUAAACGAUGAUUACUAGGUGUGGGGGCGAAAGCUUCCGUGCCGGAGUUACACAAUAAGUAAUCCACCUGGGGAGUACGACCGCAAGGUUGAACUCAAAGGAAUUGACGGGGGCCCCACAAGCAGUGGAGUAUGUGGGUUAAUUCGAACAACGCGAAGACCUUACCAGGCUUUGAAUCCUGCGCUAAGGCAAGAAUUGUUGAAUCACCUUCCGGAGUGCGAUAAACAAGGGGGGCCAGGGUUGUCGUCAGCUCGUGUCGUGAGAUGUUGGGUUAAGUCCCGCAACGAGCGCAACCCUUAUCAUUAGUUACUACGAAAGAGGACUCUAAUGAGACUGCCGUUGAGAAAACGGAGGAAGGUGGGGAUGACGUCAAAUCAUCAUGCCCCUUAUGACCUGGGCUACACACGUACUACAAUGGCUGUCAACAAAGUGAACCAAAUGCGCGAGUAAGAGGGAAACACAAAAAACAGUCACAGUUCGGAUUGUAGGCUGCAACUCGCCUACAUGAAGCCGGAAUUGCUAGUAAUCGCGGAUCAGCAUGCCGCGGUGAAUACGUUCCCGGGCCUUGCACACACCGCCCGUC
This 1380-nucleotide ribosomal RNA is filed under the name uncultured bacterium. RNAcentral's name for it is "bacterial SSU rRNA". It matches the Rfam family "Bacterial small subunit ribosomal RNA". The record is from RNAcentral.